CCUACGGGGGGCAGCAGUGAGGAAUAUUGGUCAAUGGACUUACGCCUGAACCAGCCAAGUCGCGUGAGGGAAGACUGCCCUAUGGGUUGUAACCUCUUUUGUCAGGGAGCAACGCCGGCUACGUGUAGCCGGACUGAGAGUACCUUAGUAAGAAGCACCGGCUAACUACGUGCCAGCAGCCGCGGUAAUACGUAGGGGGCAAGCGUUAUCCGGAUUUACUGGGUGUAAAGGGAGCGUAGACGGUAGUGCAAGUCUGGAGUGAAAGGCCGGGGCUCAACCCCCGGACUGCUCUGGAAACUGUACGGCUGGAGUGCAGGAGAGGUAAGUGGAAUGUCUAGUGUAGCGGUGAAAUGCGUAGAUAUUAGGAGGAACACCAGUGGCGAAGGCGGCUUACUGGACUGUAACUGACGUUGAGGCUCGAAAGCGUGGGGAGCAAACAGGAUUAGAUACCCCAGUAGUC
RNAcentral lists this ribosomal RNA (460 nucleotides) under uncultured bacterium. Its description in RNAcentral is "partial 16S ribosomal RNA". It matches the Rfam family "Bacterial small subunit ribosomal RNA", at positions 338 to 795 of the family's 1533-position model. The record is from RNAcentral.